UUCAAACGAAAAGAAUGUUAUCAUGACAAGUAAGGGAGCAACAAACCUUAGGGCCAAGGCCAUCAGAUAUGCCGAGAAAGAACAAUAUCCUGUGGGGGCAACAGACGUGCUUUGGGGUUCAUAGCCGAUAGGAAGGGUAAAAUAUGGAAGUUUGUGAAUAAGUAGUAGCCAAGAAAUUCGGAAAUCACCAGCCAAGUUCCAAAGAUUGUCGGACAACACAGAGCAAGGAAAGGAGAAAAGGUAAAUCCAUCUCCAGCGGAAGUACCACAACCAACCGCCACACUUUAAACUGACAAAAUUUUCUUUGAUUUGAAACAGGGGCAUGAAAAUGUUAUUGAAAGAUAUGUUGGGGCAGAAAAUUUUCUGCCGUUUUGAAAAUCAUUUUUGAAGUCGGGUACCCAUUCGAAGAACAUGAAGUUCAAAUACAUGUUUGUUAAAAGAAGAAGAUGGAAGUAGUGUUCAGGAGAAAAAUACUAGUUUCAAGGAAAGUAAUUUUCGGAGGAUUGGAACACCAAGUUGUUAGGGAAGUGGUUUUUGAAGAAGGACAACACCAAUUUUUAGGAAAGCAGUUCUGAAGGAAGGUAAUUCAAGUCAGAAGGUAGACAAAACAAGUUUCGGAGGAAAAUGGUUAGUCGAUAUAAAUCUUAGUCUGUUGAAUUUUUCACCUAAGAUAAAAAUCUUACUCUGAUGAAUCUUUUACCUAGGAUGAAGAUGAAGGAGGGAAAUCUUAGUCCGAUGAAUGUUUCACCUAAGAUAAAAAUCUUAGUCUGAUGAAUCUUUCACCUAAGAUAAAGGUAUAAGUUGGAAAAGUGAAAGGAAAGCAUAAUUUGGAAAAGAAGGGAAGGCAAAAUUUGAGGGAAAAGAAAAGAAUACAUAAUUUGGGAAGAAAGGCAGAAGUUGGGAAAAAGAAAGCAAGGCAUAACUUGGAAAGGAAGGCAGAAGUUGGAAAAAGAAAUAAAGGCAUAAUUGGAGAAAGAAAGGAAGGCACAAUGUGAAAAAGAAGGAAAGGAAUGUUUAAAUUCAAAAAUGGACCUAGUCUGAUGAAUAUCUAGAGUCAAAAUCUCAAUCCGAUGAAUCUUUCUCCUGAGAUCAUACAAAAUUGGACCUAGUCUGAUGAAUUUCUCCUAGAGUCAAAAUCUCAGUCCGAUGAAUCUUUCUUCUAAGAUCACACAAAUGGACCUAGUCUGAUGAAUUAUCUCCUAGAGUCAAAAUCUCAGUCCGAUGAAUCUUUCUCUUGAGAUCGCGCAAAAAUGGACCUAGUCUGAUGAAUUAUCUCCUAGAGUCAAAAUCUUAGCCUGCUGAAUCUUUCACCCAAGAUGAAAAUCUUGGUCUGAUGAAUUUUUCACCUAAGAUAAAAAUCAAAAUCUUAGUCUGCUGAAUCUUUCUCCUAAGAUAAAAUCUUAGUCUGAUGAACUUUUCACCUAAGGUCAAAGUUAGAAAAGUCUUAGUCUGUUGAAUCUUUCUCCUAAGAUGAAAAUCUUAGUCCGAUGAAUUUUUCACCUAAGACAAAUUUCAAAUUUUAAGGUACAUUUCAGUCUUUAAAGUUGUAUUUCAGUCUUAUCACAAUUCAAGUUUUAGUCCUUAUUAGUAUGUGGUAACAAACCCCAGUUUUACAAACUGGGGCAGAAAGUUUUCUUUGUUUUGUCUAUCUUUGUGAAGUCAGGAGCCCGCCUGGAGAACAGAGGAAUACAUUCAAGUUUUGAAGUCAGUAGCCCACCUGGAGAACGGAGGUAUUACGUUUCAAGUUUUAAUUUUCAAAUUCGUAUUAGUAUCCGAUAAGAAACCCCAGUUUUACAAACAGGGGCAGAAAGUUUCCUUUGUUUUGUCUAUUUUUAUACAGUCAGGAGCCCGCCUGGAUAACAGAGGAAUACAUUCAAGUUCAAGUUUACUCAAGUUCAGCAAUUUGAAGAAGGGAAUAGUUUACAAUUCAAAACGACAACAAUGGAUUUCACCUGGAGAGCAAGGGAAGACAACUCAAGUUUCAAGGGGAAGCAGUGUCGACGGAAGACAACUUAAGUUUCGAGGGAAAGCAGUUUUGAGGGAAGAAAGUUCAAGUUUCAAGGGAAAAUGGUUCAAGGUGCCGAGUAGGUUUGACGUCGAGGCACACGAUUCGAGAUGGCAGAAAAAAUGAGUCUCAAUCCAAAAUAAAGAAAAAAAAAGAGCAAAAGAAGUGAGCUCCAAAAUUCAGAAGCAGGAAAAGCUGUGAACUGCUCAAGACGUGGUUGAAGUCAUGAGCACUACAUGCCCGGUCUUGAUCCAAAAGCUGAAGAAGAUUGAACCAACACCUGCGGCUAACAAGCAUCAAGAUUCGGAUUAAGGUCCGCAUGAAGCACCAACCAAGAAGACUCAUAGGUAAGAAUCUUGUAACUUGUAGCUGAUAGGCUUAGUUAGUCUUUUUCAAUUUUGACUUUGAUGUAUUAGGGUCCGCAUGAAGCACCAACCAAGACUCAAGAUCAAGCUUCAGAAGACUUAUAGAUAUGAAUCUUAUAACUCGUAGCUGAUAAGCUUAGUUAGUCUUUUUCAAUUUUGAUGUAAUAAUAGGACAGCGGACCGGAGCCUCGGACGGAACCUCGACUCUCAACCUCGGUACUUCUUCACUUCUGAACUGCACCUGACCUGAUUCCUUUAUAGCCAAGGAUAUGUAGGCAUCCUUUGAAGCAAGAUUCGGUCAGAUAGUUUUUCAAAAAAUGCUUCUUAUGGGAGUUUCAAAUGGGCAAAAAUCCCUCACAGUGUUUACUUUAUCUUUGCCCGAAAACUCUUCGUGUUUCCGAGCAAAUAGGGGCAGCUGUAAACACGGGAUUUUUUUCCUACAUGAAGAUAACUCCUAAAAGUAAGUCAAAAUAAUUUUUUUGCUCUUUUAGAAAUUUUUUCUUUUGUAGUCUCAUUUCAUACAUUUUAAUAUUUUAAAAUCACAAUAAUAAAAUACAAAAAUACAUAUUUGCAUUUAGUAUCUAAUUUCAUAUUUUAAGAUUAAUUAAGGGUUAAUUUGUAUUAGAACAAAAUAGGAAGAAAAUAACAAAAAUAGUACCUUUUGCAUUAUUAGUUUAAAUUUGUAUUAGUUUGUAUUUUUAUUAGGAAUUAAUUAGGAAAUCUAAUUUUUAGUGUUAAUUUUGUUCAUUUAACAAAAUCAGAAAAUAGAAUACAAACUAAGUAAAUAAAAUACAAAAAGAAAAAAAGAGAGGAAGAUAAAAGGAAAAUGGGAGUAAAAAAUGGGAACAACCUUCCCCUUAAAAUAUUUCCCCAUCUAAAAUCUUCCCCCAAAAUAUUUACCCACAUAACACCUUCCCCCAAAUAAAACUCCCUCACGUAACACCUCACCCCACAUCCUUUAUAAAACCAUCUUGCCACAACCAAAAGAAAAGAAAUACACAAAAAUUGAACGCCUACAAUGAUAAAAGAAAAAGAAUACCUAAGACCUGAGACCCCAAAGUGAAAUCAGUGGUAUUCCUUCAUCAUCCUCACCCCAUCAGCGACCAAGAUUUCUUCACCCAAAACACAAAUCAAACACACACAAAAUAGGCAUAUAUAGAUAUAGUAGGGAGCAUCGAUCUUAAGCAGCUAGAAGGCUCACUCGUGAAUUAGUUCUCCAAAACCCCGGUUAUUUUUGCACUUCUUUCUACUCAACUCAUUGAGGUUGCUGAC
Molecule: long non-coding RNA, 3642 nt
Filed under: Nicotiana benthamiana
Lineage: Eukaryota; Viridiplantae; Streptophyta; Magnoliopsida; Solanales; Solanaceae
Description: long non-coding RNA (NBEN_LNC016347)
Source: RNAcentral